AGAGUUUGAUCAUGGCUCAGACAACGCUGGCGGCAGGCUUAACACAUGCAAGUCGAACGCGUGUAGCAAUACACGAGUGGCGCACGGGUGAGUAACGCGUGGAUAUCUGCCUUUUGGUUCGGAAUAACUCCGGGAAACUGGAGCUAAUACCGGAUGGUUCCUACGGGAUAAAGAUUUAUCGCCAAAAGAUGAGUCCGCGUACGAUUAGCUAGUUGGUGAGGUAAUGGCUCACCAAGGCGACGAUCGUUAGCUGGUCUGAGAGGACGAUCAGCCACACUGGGACUGAGACACGGCCCAGACUCCUACGGGAGGCAGCUAGUGGGGAAUAUUGGACAAUGGGGGCAACCCUGAUCCAGCCAUGCCGCGUGAGUGAUGAAGGCCUUCGGGUUGUAAAGCUCUUUUGGCGGGGACGAUGAUGACGGUACCCGCAGAAUAAGCCCCGGCUAACUUCGUG
Molecule: ribosomal RNA, 454 nt
Filed under: uncultured bacterium
Lineage: Bacteria
Description: bacterial SSU rRNA
Rfam family: Bacterial small subunit ribosomal RNA
Source: RNAcentral